RNAcentral lists this ribosomal RNA (579 nucleotides) under Heterosigma akashiwo. RNAcentral describes it as "partial Bacterial large subunit ribosomal RNA". It matches the Rfam family "Bacterial large subunit ribosomal RNA", at positions 741 to 1316 of the family's 2925-position model. The record is from RNAcentral. Lineage: Eukaryota; Raphidophyceae; Chattonellales; Chattonellaceae.
CAGGUUGAAGGUUGGGGAACACUAACUGGAGGACCGAACCCACUGUCGUUGAAAAGCCAGGGGAUGACUUGUGGAUAGGGGUGAAAGGCUAAUCAAACUCGGUGAUAGCUGGUUCUCCCCGAAAGCUAUUUAGGUAGCGCCUCGGACGAACACCAUUGGGGGUAGAGCACUGUUUCGGCUAGGGGGUCAUCCCGACUUACCAAACCGAUGCAAACUCCGAAUACCUACAAGUGCCGAGCAUGGGAGACACACGGCGGGUGCUAACGUCCGUCGUGAAAAGGGAAACAACCCAGACCGUCAGCUAAGGUCCCAAAGUCAUGGUUAAGUGGGAAACGAUGUGGGAAGGCUUAGACAGCUAGGAGGUUGGCUUAGAAGCAGCCAUCCUUUAAAGAAAGCGUAACAGCUCACUGGUCAAGCGCUCCUGCGCGGAAAAUGUAACGGGGCUUAAGUGAUACACCGAAGCUGCGGAUUCGAUCUUUGAUCGAGUGGUAGCGGAGCGUUCCGUAGGCCGAUGAAGGCAGACCCGCGAGGGCUGCUGGAGGUAUCGGAAGUGAGAAUGCUGACAUGAGUAGCGACAAA